UUGACCUCAAAUCAGGUAGGACUACCCGCUGAACUUAAGCAUAUCAAUAAGCGGAGGAAAAGAAACUAACAAGGAUUCCCCUAGUAACUGCGAGUGAAGCGGGAA
This 105-nucleotide ribosomal RNA is filed under the name Amanita rhacopus. RNAcentral describes it as "partial 28S ribosomal RNA". It matches the Rfam family "Eukaryotic large subunit ribosomal RNA", at positions 1 to 104 of the family's 3401-position model. The record is from RNAcentral. Lineage: Eukaryota; Fungi; Basidiomycota; Agaricomycetes; Agaricales; Amanitaceae.